Molecule: ribosomal RNA, 229 nt
Filed under: uncultured bacterium
Lineage: Bacteria
Description: partial 16S ribosomal RNA
Rfam family: Bacterial small subunit ribosomal RNA
Source: RNAcentral
CGGGUGAGUAAUAUAUAGAUAAUGUGCCUCUUAGUCUGGGAUAGCCAUUGGAAACGAUGAUUAAUACUAGAUACUCCUUCUAACUCUAAUGUUAGUCGGGAAAGUUUUUUCGCUAAGAGAUCAGUCUAUAUCCCAUCAGCUUGUUGGUAGUGUAAGAGACUACCAAGGCAAUGACGGGUAGCGGGUUUGAGAGGAUGAUCCGCCACACUGGUACUGAGACACGGACCAG